This 61-nucleotide microRNA precursor is filed under the name Euprymna scolopes. Its description in RNAcentral is "Esc-Mir-12543_pre stem-loop". Lineage: Eukaryota; Metazoa; Mollusca; Cephalopoda; Sepiida; Sepiolidae. The record is from RNAcentral.
UCUCCAACCAAUUUUCGGUACCUUAAUAUAUCAAGUGUGGUACCAAAGAUGAUUGGAGAGA